AACUAUUUAAUUGAUGUAACGGGAGAAUGAACAUUAUAAAUUAUAAAGUGAUAGAGCUAUUUUGUUACAUGCAAAGCGGGGAAAUAUGGUUAAAAUUAUCGAGUUUGUUUAUGUUAUGAUUAUGAUUCUCACCCUAUUUCUUAUUGCAACAAACAUUGAAGCAAUAUCAAGAUUUGCUUAUAAACAAUGUGUAAGUGAUGCAGAUUGUCCCAAAAAAAUGUGUCGUUAUCCUGAGAACGCAAAGUGUGUGUACCAAUCCAUAUGUAAAUGUGUUGGACCGAAGUUCAUCGAAAAAUUAUUCAUAUAACAUGUAAAUAUGCAUGAUUUUUUUUUUGUACUGUUUUAAUUAAAUAAAAUGAUCUUUUUAUUUCUUUUUAAUUAUUAGGAAUAAAUCAUUAGAAUAUGAAGAAAAGAGUAGUUUUGAUGCAUAUAAUGGUGCCUUGAAGUCGGAUCUCUCUGGACCUGAGAUUUGCAUGGUAAGGGAUUUUCAGGUCAUUGAAUCCAGAACGUUAGUUUGGACCUGAGAAGGUCUUUCAGUGCUCAUUAGGAAGGCAGAAGGCAAGGGUGAUAUUUAUGGGAAGAAAAUUUGCAUGUGGCCUCCUAUCAUUUCACGUCUUAUAUUUGCUAAUGAUUGUUUUCUCUUCUUUAGAGCAUCAGAUAAUGAAGUUAUGAUCAUGAAAAAUAUUUUAGUGACUUUCGAAGCAGCGUCUGAUAAAUAUCAUGGAUUGCCAUCUAUGGUUGGUCGGAGCAGAAAACAAUUUGAUUCAUUAAGGAUAGAAUUUGGAAGAAAAUGUAUUCUUGGAGUAGCAGGUGUUUAUCACAAGCAGGCGGAGAAAUUUUGAUUAAAUCAGUUCUUCAAUUGAUUUCAUCCUAUAUAAUGAGUAUUUUCUUAAUUCCAUCAA
This is a long non-coding RNA of Trifolium pratense (red clover), 902 nucleotides long. RefSeq lists it as uncharacterized. The transcript is spliced from 2 exons. NCBI's taxonomy places the organism in Eukaryota, Viridiplantae, Streptophyta, Magnoliopsida, Fabales, Fabaceae. The record is from RefSeq and is a predicted model, not a curated record.